This is a long non-coding RNA of Lytechinus pictus (painted urchin), 13123 nucleotides long. RefSeq lists it as uncharacterized. The transcript has 23 exons. Lineage: Eukaryota; Metazoa; Echinodermata; Echinoidea; Temnopleuroida; Toxopneustidae. The record is from RefSeq and is a predicted model, not a curated record.
GCUGGAUCCGCCCCUGGAAAUAAGAAUACUGAAUAGGAUAAAUAUCUCGAUUUUUUUUUUGCUUCAAUUUUUUUAUCGGCCCAUAACGUCAUAAUCCCUUUGCAAUUUGUUUCAUCUAUUUGCGACCCUUAUCUCGCUGCGCAACUGUAGCAGAGUAACUAAAAGUUGCAAACGGACAGAACAAAAUGGCAGCGCGCACGCAACUACUGAUCAGAAAGUCAAGACAACACUAACAGUAACAGGCUGAUAAAUUCAGUCAAGAAUAUUGAGAUAUCCUGCUGUAUAAUCUGUUCCCAUUGUCCUACUUCGUGAAUAAAACAUUUUUGAGGAAAUUUAGUUCUUAAAUAUGAUUGAUGGUCAGUCUUUGUAUCUGCGAAUUUCUAAUGUAUUUCUUAAUUUUGGUGGUCCACCGGUCUGGGAGAGUACCGCCUACCGGUACCCAGGGAGCGCUCCCUGGGUAGGAGAAAUCGAGCCGAUGCUGACCAGCAGCAUCAGUCACUGUGACAGUGUGAGUGUGGACCGGUCAUCACGACUCUGCCCUACACUCAGCGUUCAACAGUCAUUGGAUUUCAUGUUGGGAGAAGCCCAGGCUGUUACAGAAUACAGGGAUCAGCAUGAGCUGUAGCUGUUAUAGCUAGGGAGAGAAUGCUAGUAGAAGAGGGACAAACCAAGACGAACCGAUUCUGACCUCUCAGUCAUGUUUUCAAGCAUAAAAGACCUAUCGACCUUGCAAAUCAGAGGCUACGGAGAUGGACUAUAAAAGUACUUGUUGACUUAAGUUAAGAAUGUGUCUCUGACAGGUGAUCAUCAAUGCCCCCUUACCCGCAGGUGUGGCCCCUCCCCUGUCUUCCCUCGGUAGACAGCCAUAGCAACUAUACCAGCCAACCAAUCAGCUUCUCUGCAUUCUCAUUACCCACCCAUAGUCCAGUGCCCCGCCCACCCAGCCAGCAGACGGCUGUCUAUGUCUAUUGAUCCCCAGGUCUGGCUAAAGAUCUAUAAUUUCAGGUGGUGUCUCUGAUGGGAGAUCAUCGAUGCCUUCACACCCAGGGGGUAAUGCCUCUCCUGUGCUGCCUCUGUGUAAACUUAGCCACUAUAUCAACCAAUCAGCUUUUCUGCAUCCUCAUCGCCUGCCAAUAGUCCAGUGUCCCGCCCACCCAGCAGACGGCUGUCUAUCGUUCCGUAGGUCAGGCUGAAGACUAAUAAACCUCAAAUGCUUUAGCAGUUAUAACAAGGAAGAGCAUGCUAGAAGAGGGACAAAGGGAUUUUGACCUACUGGUUAUAUUGCCAAACGCAAAGGACCUAUCGACCUUGCAAAACAGAGGCUACAGAGAUAGUGAAGUCUAUGGAAGACUGUAUUUGAAUUAAGAAUGUGUCUCUGACAGGUGAUCAUCAAUGCCCCCUUACACGCAAGUGUGGCCAUAUCCUGUUGUCCCUCGGUAGACAGCCAUAGCAACUAUACCAGCCAACCAAUCAGCUUCUCUGCAUUCUCAUCACCCGCCCAUAGUCCAGUGCCCCGCCCACCCAGCAGACAGCUGUCUGUUGAUCCCCAGGUCUGGCUAAAGAUCUAUAACUUCAGGUGGUGUCUCUGAUGGGAGAUCAUCGAUGCCUUCACACCCAGGGGGUAAUGCCUCUCCUGUGCUGCCUCUGUGUAAACUUAGCCACUAUAUCAACCAAUCAGCUUUUCUGCAUCCUCAUCGCCUGCCAAUAGUCCAGUGUCCCGCCCACCCAGCAGACGGCUAUCUAUCGUUCCGUAGGUCAGGCUGAAGACUAAUAAACCUCAAAUGCUUUAGCAGUUAUAACAAGGGAGAGCAUGUACAAGAGGGACAAAGGGAUUUUGACCUACUGGUUAUAUUGCCAAACGCAAAGGACCUAUCGACCUUGCAAAACAGAGGCUACAGAGAUAGUGAAGUCUAUGGAAGACUGUAUUUGAAUUAAGAAUGUGUCUCUGACAGGUGAUCAUCAAUGCCCCCUUACCCGCAGGUGUGGCCCCUCCCCUGUUGUCCCUCGGUAGACAGCCAUAGCAACUAUACCAGCCAACCAAUCAGCUUCUCUGCAUUCUCAUCACCCGCCCAUAGUCCAGUGCCCCGCCCACCCAGCAGACAGCUGUCUGUUGAUCCCCAGGUCUGGCUAAAGAUCUAUAACUUCAGGUGGUGUCUCUGAUGGGAGAUCAUCGAUGCCUUCACACCCAGGGGGUAAUGCCUCUCCUGUGCUGCCUCUGUGUAAACUUAGCCACUAUAUCAACCAAUCAGCUUUUCUGCAUCCUCAUCGCCUGCCAAUAGUCCAGUGUCCCGCCCACCCAGCAGACGGCUGUCUAUCGUUCCGUAGGUCAGGCUGCAGACUAAUAAACCUCAAAUGCUUUAGCAGUUAUAACAAGGGAGAGCAUGUACAAGAGGGACAAAGGGAUUUUGACCUACUGGUUAUAUUGCCAAACGCAAAGGACCUAUCGACCUUGCAAAACAGAGGCUACAGAGAUAGUGAAGUCUAUGGAAGACUGUAUUUGAAUUAAGAAUGUGUCUCUGACAGGUGAUCAUCAAUGCCCCCUUACCCGCAGGUGUGGCCCCUCCCCUGUUGUCCCUCGGUAGACAGCCAUAGCAACUAUACCAGCCAACCAAUCAGCUUCUCUGCAUUCUCAUCACCCGCCCAUAGUCCAGUGCCCCGCCCACCCAGCAGACAGCUGUCUGUUGAUCCCCAGGUCUGGCUAAAGAUCUAUAACUUCAGGUGGUGUCUCUGAUGGGAGAUCAUCGAUGCCUUCACACCCAGGGGGUAAUGCCUCUCCUGUGCUGCCUCUGUGUAAACUUAGCCACUAUAUCAACCAAUCAGCUUUUCUGCAUCCUCAUCGCCUGCCAAUAGUCCAGUGUCCCGCCCACCCAGCAGACGGCUGUCUAUCGUUCCGUAGGUCAGGCUGCAGACUAAUAAACCUCAAAUGCUUUAGCAGUUAUAACAAGGGAGAGCAUGUACAAGAGGGACAAAGGGAUUUUGACCUACUGGUUAUAUUGCCAAACGCAAAGGACCUAUCGACCUUGCAAAACAGAGGCUACAGAGAUAGUGAAGUCUAUGGAAGACUGUAUUUGAAUUAAGAAUGUGUCUCUGACAGGUGAUCAUCAAUGCCCCCUUACCCGCAGGUGUGGCCCCUCCCCUGUUGUCCCUCGGUAGACAGCCAUAGCAACUAUACCAGCCAACCAAUCAGCUUCUCUGCAUUCUCAUCACCCGCCCAUAGUCCAGUGCCCCGCCCACCCAGCAGACAGCUGUCUGUUGAUCCCCAGGUCUGGCUAAAGAUCUAUAACUUCAGGUGGUGUCUCUGAUGGGAGAUCAUCGAUGCCUUCACACCCAGGGGGUAAUGCCUCUCCUGUGCUGCCUCUGUGUAAACUUAGCCACUAUAUCAACCAAUCAGCUUUUCUGCAUCCUCAUCGCCUGCCAAUAGUCCAGUGUCCCGCCCACCCAGCAGACGGCUGUCUAUCGUUCCGUAGGUCAGGCUGCAGACUAAUAAACCUCAAAUGCUUUAGCAGUUAUAACAAGGGAGAGCAUGUACAAGAGGGACAAAGGGAUUUUGACCUACUGGUUAUAUUGCCAAACGCAAAGGACCUAUCGACCUUGCAAAACAGAGGCUACAGAGAUAGUGAAGUCUAUGGAAGACUGUAUUUGAAUUAAGAAUGUGUCUCUGACAGGUGAUCAUCAAUGCCCCCUUACCCGCAGGUGUGGCCCCUCCCCUGUUGUCCCUCGGUAGACAGCCAUAGCAACUAUACCAGCCAACCAAUCAGCUUCUCUGCAUUCUCAUCACCCGCCCAUAGUCCAGUGCCCCGCCCACCCAGCAGACAGCUGUCUGUUGAUCCCCAGGUCUGGCUAAAGAUCUAUAACUUCAGGUGGUGUCUCUGAUGGGAGAUCAUCGAUGCCUUCACACCCAGGGGGUAAUGCCUCUCCUGUGCUGCCUCUGUGUAAACUUAGCCACUAUAUCAACCAAUCAGCUUUUCUGCAUCCUCAUCGCCUGCCAAUAGUCCAGUGUCCCGCCCACCCAGCAGACGGCUGUCUAUCGUUCCGUAGGUCAGGCUGCAGACUAAUAAACCUCAAAUGCUUUAGCAGUUAUAACAAGGGAGAGCAUGUACAAGAGGGACAAAGGGAUUUUGACCUACUGGUUAUAUUGCCAAACGCAAAGGACCUAUCGACCUUGCAAAACAGAGGCUACAGAGAUAGUGAAGUCUAUGGAAGACUGUAUUUGAAUUAAGAAUGUGUCGCUGACAGGUGAUCAUCAAUGCCCCCUUACCUGCAGGUGUGGCCCCUCCCCUGUUGUCCCUCGGUAGACAGCCAUAGCAACUAUACCAGCCAACCAAUCAGCUUCUCUGCAUUCUCAUCACCCGCCCAUAGUCCAGUGCCCUGCCCACCCAGCAGACAGCUGUCUGUUGAUCCCCAGGUCUGGCUAAAGAUCUAUAAUUUCAGGUGGUGUCUCUGAUGGGAGAUCAUCGAUGCCUUCACACCCAGGGGGUAAUGCCUCUCCUGUGCUGCCUCUGUGUAAACUUAGCCACUAUAUCAACCAAUCAGCUUUUCUGCAUCCUCAUCGCCCGCCAAUAGUCCAGUGUCCCGCCCACCCAGCAGACGGCUGUCUAUCGUUCCGUAGGUCAGGCUGCAGACUAAUAAACCUCAAAUGCUUAAGCUGAAGGGAGAGAAUGCUAGAAGAGGGACAAAGGAUUCUGACCCCCUGGUUAUCUUGCCAAACACAAAGGACCUAUCAACCAACCUUGCAACAGAUGCUAAGAAGACGGCUUCUGUGUGACAGUGCCCAUAUGUCUGGAGGAAGUAACAUCGUUUUCUAGAAGUCAAAUUCAGGUUUUCUAUUUAAUUCAGGAGUUUUUGUCAUGUAAAUCGUAAUGCUUAACCAAAUAGCAGGCAGUCUAAAUAUUUUAGUAUUAACUUGGUGACUGGCAUAUACUAGUACAUUUGCUACUCAUGAACCCAUUUUGUUAUAUUUUUUAUGACUUUUGCGUUUGUGUCAAUCCAAGGAGCAGGUCCAAGCUAUUACUUCUUUACCGAUAGUAUCUGAUUAUCUUUUGUUUCAUUUACAAAUGCCUUCUUUGUAACUUGUAUUAAUGUUUUCCUUGAGUAAAAUAAUGCUUUUAAGCCUAGGCUAUUUUGAAAUUUGCAUAGCCCGGGGGAGGGGGGGGGGGCGCUUUUGUGAUCUCUCCCUCUUCAGAUCUCUGUUGGGAUCAUGAUAUGAUAAAAAAUUCAAACACCUCACCUAUGAAGAAAUCUCCCAAAUUGGAUAGUUAAAUAGUUUUAGCAAAAUCAUACAAAUUUAUAUCUUAUUAAUGUAAUUAUACUAAUUGAUAAAUAAAUUUAUAAUUCAGUGGUUGAUCUUUAAUAUAACUUUUAAACACCUACAUGUAAAUUUUAGCCUGGACACUCGUUAUAAGAUUGUAAUCAAAUCCAUAAAAUUUGAAAAAUGGUGAUAUAAUUUUUUUAUGAAUUUCUUAUGUAUUUUUCAACUUAAAGUUUUCAUUUUUUUUCGAUAAAACAACACUUUUUCAGUCAUAAAUACAUGAAAUCUAUUUUUCCAAUCAGUACAAUUAGAAUAUUACAUAUUUAUGAAGUUUGGCUACAUAGGAUUUGCUUUAGAUUUGUAUGUGAAAUCACUUUUACGAAAUGUUGCACAACUCCGGAACUGCUUACCCGGCCUUCACAAAUGUGAUCUAAAAAUUGCGCGAAAAUUGGAAGGAAAAUAGUCGUGAAACGUUGCAGUGCAAUCUUUUGCAUUACAGAUUUAUUGCAUAAAAUGUUGAGGGGAGAUAAAAGAUCUCCCCUCCCCCGGGUAGGUAGGGUUAAGUUUGAAGGGAUGAAUGGCUUUUUCUCUAUUAGAAAUAAAAUGAUGACUUCAUUUGGCCCAGUAAAUAGUCAUGGAGACUACUUCAUUUCCCCUAUGUAGUUUGUAUUUGCUUUUUUUUGUGUGUGUUGACUAUUCUGCAAAAGUGGAUCCAAAGGUUUUCCAGAGUUUUUCCCUAUUGAGUUUUAUCUCUGGUUUUUUACCCUGGAUCUACUUGUCGUAGAUUAGUUUAGCACACUCCCCCCCCCCCAAUUUUUUUUUGGUAUGUCUAUAUAAUUCUUAUUUUUCCAUGAAUUUUAUAUGUUCUGUUGAAUUUCAUCAAUUAUUACAUGUAGUACAAGAGGGUUUAUAAUACAGGCAUUCUCAUUUUCACUAUUAUCUAUUUUAAUAGCCAUUUGUGUAAAAAGGCUUAUUUUAUUUGUACAGAAUAUCAUAAAGUGAUGUUACUAAUAUGAAUAUUUGUUAUGCCUGUAAAAGGUUUAUCAUUUUAUUAAACACAAAAACUUUUUUUUUCCUAUGUAAGACGAAUGGCUUUACCUUGAUUUCAUAAUGACCCAUAUGUAUAGAAUCUUAGUUGAAAACACAAAGUGCAUUGAACUUCUAAAUGAAAUAAUUUUUUUAGCUGUUUUUUUUAAGAACCUUCAGCCCAACUCUUGGUCACAAAAAGUGAGUAGCUUUAAAUGGCCAUUGUUGUGUCUCAAUAUGUGCUAGAAGAAAAAGAAAUAUAUACCAUAAAACCUCACAGCAAAGGUUUCAUGUGUUACAAAAAUACUGCAUGAAAAAAGUCAAGAUAAAACUUCUGAUUUUAAACAGCAAGAAAUAAUGAUUUUAGGCAGUAAAAGUAAAUAAAUACUUUUAUGAAUUUUCUUUUUACGAAAACUUUACAUUGGAUUGGAUUGGAUUCAUUUUUGAGCAAUUUUGGCAUGCACUCAUGAAGUUUUACAUAAAUUUAGAACAUUUUGCAUGACUGCCAAUUUGGUCUCAGAAAUUGCAAGAGACUUUGCUAUUGCAAUAUAUGUUUAAAAGGGGAAUGUUUUACAACCUCAUCCCGGCCUAAAUAUAUAUAGUUACGGUGUUGGCAUACUUUGGUUGCAUUAUGAUCAUUCAGUGCUUGUUCAGUCUGUAGUAGUGAUAGUAGGAAAUCAUUUUUAUUUUCUUGUGGCUUUUCUCACAUAUCGGUGAUUGGUGGAUUUUCAGGGCUAUCCUGUCAUUUAUAAAGGAGUAUAUUCUAUCAUAGCUUCCUAAGGAAAUGCUAACUAAUCAUAUCUUUUCAUUUCCUUUUCCCUUGUAGCCUGGUAUCUGUUAAGUAAAAGUUGCAUGUGUAUGUUUAUUUUCACAUGAAUAUUAUAUAAAUUCUCAAUAUGUUUAGGACUGGCCAUUUUGCAUUAGGGAACAUUUCUUAAAUAGAGAUGGGAGAAAAGGUACCAAAUAUUUAAAACCACAGUAGGGGGGUUAAGGCCGGUCAAUAAAGCAUACAGGACAUUUCCCCCUUCAUUUUCUGGUGGCUAUUUCAGUGAUUGGUGAAUUUUGGGGGCUAUCCUAUCAUCUAGGAGACUAUAUUUUAUUGUAGCUUCAUUAGUAGAUACUUACUAUUCAUAUCUUUUCAUUUCCUUAUCCCUUGAAGUCUGUAUCUGUAAAGUAAAAGUUGCAUGUGUACAUACAUUUUCACAUGAAUAUUAGAUGAAAAUUCAAUAUGUUUAGGACAAGGUCAUUUUGCCACAUGGAACGUUUCUGUGUGACUGCAAAAAUGGGUAAUAUAAAUUUAAAGCCCCCCCAAAAAAAAAUCAACAUAAAUGAGAGUGUAAUAGAGACAAUUGUCCCUCCAUUGCCUUGAAUUAUUACAUUGUAUAUAUUCAGAGGGUAAAUGGGAAAGAGAUGACAUUUCACUCUCAUGUCUUGUAAUGUAUAUUUAAUAUUAGCACAAUAAUUUAGAAUGUAAAAUAAUUGUAAUUUAAAGGCUCUUAUAAGUAAUAAUGUAGAGUGCUUAAAGAUCUCAAUAUGAAGCACUAUUAUUAUUAUUAUUCACAAAGUCAACCAUGCUGCCAUGUUGAAUUGCAACUUAAUGCAGGUGAGACUGCCAUUGGCUUUGCACUGGUUUCUUUCAAAUAUUCCAUUAUAUUAUAGUUCUAGUAGUGAAGGAGAUUUUUAUUAAGAAAACAUGCUCCAUAUAUAGUGGGAAAGUUUUUUUUGUUUUAUAUCAUCAGAUCAUUUCAAAUUUAUGCAAAGUUUAUCACUCUAUUACUCUAGGAAAACAGGAAAAGGGGGUGUUUCACAAAUAAGUGUGACUAAAAUCCUGCGUAUAAAGUGCAAACAGACACAGGAUAUUUAAUGAGCAAUCUCAUUGAUGAUACGUAGUAAAUCACAUUCCAUGAACGUGAUCCAAUUGUAUCCUACCAAUUUUCCAUACACAAGUAGAAAUUUAAGAGGGAGUUUGUAGUCACAGAUAAAUUUAUGUGAAACACCCCUUUGAUAUGUCAUGUAUGCCACAUAUAAUAUUAAAUAGCUUGGACCUGCCCUAUAUCGGGACAGUGAUUUUCUAAUCACCGGUUAAUCAAAAUCGAAAAGCCGUUUUGGUUCUUAACUUUUCAUGUGAAAAUUAAUUGAAUUUUCCUUUGCAAAACGGAAUUCAUGUUAUUGUUGUGUUCACUUUCUAUGAAAAAACAGAAUUACCACUUAAGAUCAAGUUUGAAAUGGAGUUACAGGUUUCCAGAAACAGAAAGACAAUUUUUUAAAGGAAAAAUCACUGUCCCUGUAGUUUAUGAUUGUCUGUACUCUAUACUUGCUUUGUAUCCAUGAUUUUCAUAUUUUUUGUAAAUUUUCAUUAAAAAUUGUAAGGCCGGCAGCUGAGAAGAUUCAUCCAAGUUGGAGGACUGUAGCAGUUGACCUCAUUGAUUGAUGGAGUAAGCCCGACACCUCACAAAUAUGGCUUCCUGUCUGGUUUGAGCUGGGGUCUUCCUGCCAGAAUCACACAAUUGGUGACAUCACUGCCAAGAGUUCUAUUUUUCAGUGUAGAGAGAAGGACACUGGACACUGCUGUGCAUGGUAUACCACAUCCAUAUUAAAUGUAAGUGCUUUAUUUCUAAUUUCAUUGAUAUUUUGUGUAGCCUAGAGUAUGCAAGACAAUGCCAUUGGGUUUCCAGAAAUUAUUACUCUCAGGGAAAAAUUAUUAGAGAAAGUAUGGGCAGUGGUUUCACCCCCAUUGGGCUUUUAAUUUGCAUCCUUUUUUUAAUGAAUGUAAUUUUCUUUCAUCUUUGGCAUCCAAUUCUUUUCAUGAAAAUCUAUCAAUACAAUACUCCUAAAGGCAAUUUUGAUGAAAUUUCUUUCCUACCUUAAAAAUACUUGCAGUAUCUGUUGAUCCAUUGAUUGCUGUCUUUCUUUAUAUUCCUCCCUGUACUAUCUGCUCUAGCUGCUGUUCGAAAUUCAUCUUUGUUUCACACUGUUUCAACAUCUGCCAUGACUGAUAUAAUAAUUUGCUAAUUAAGACAUAAAGAAAUAAUUCAAAAGGAAAUUUAUAUAUAUUCAAAGAUUUUGAUUUCAUUAAUUCUAUAUUAAUUGCAAAAGCCAUGAUAGAGCAGUGUGAAUUGUUUUGCAAUAAAUCUAUUCCCUUUUUCUGUACAUGUUAAUUUUUUGGAGAGACUAAUGUAAGUUAAUUUUAAAAACUGUUUGGUCCUAUCCCCAUUCACCGUAAACUUGAUUUUUUUUUUUAAAUGCCAAGUGUGUAUCCAUCAUGUAAACACAUAAUGCGAGAGAUUUAGCCAGACCUGUGUUGGAUGAUAAUGAUAAUGUGAUGAAGGUGGCUUCUCAAUAUCGGUUCGUCUGCAAAAAAAAAAAAAAAAUUGGCUUCUACACAAGUUUGGAUAAAAAGUUUAACCCACUUUAGUGAGGAUUGUGUGCUUCAAUGGUUUUUCCACAAUGUAUAAAAAAAAACAUGUUUCAUCAAUCACCGCAGUACAAGUUGGUAUGGAAUCUAGUUUUAGAAGUGCAAUGUCAAAUUUUUUUCAGCAAGUGGUUUUUACUUGUCAAGCCAUUGUUCAAGAGCCUUGCCCACUGUAAUGUUUCGAGUUAACCCUUGUCAGUAUACUUUGUAUUGGCCCUUUUUCACGUUUGUUAAAUACGUUUGAUGGAGCAGUUUAGCCAAGAUGGCUUUUGGGCUUGGUGGCAGUGAUCAUUGUCGAUCAAGAACCAGUUUGCACCCCAACGAAGAGAAGAGACAAACUGUUGGUCUAUGGUUGAAGAGAGCGGUGCUGAAUUAUGGAGUAAUGUCUCAAUUGCAUGUGACAUUUUGGUCUUUGGUGUUUGAAAAUUUGGUAAUGUUGCGAUAAUCCUCAAGUACUUUCUGACUAAGAGGAAUAGUAUUCUUUUUCAGCCUAUUUGUUGGUAUCCAGUGCUCUUCAAACCAUCAUGAAAAUUGAAUGACUAGAAAUUCAAAUGGUGAUAACUGGGCCCCGUCUUACAAAGAGCUGCGAUUGAUCCGAUCAGUCGCAACUAUGGAAAGCCAGCAACAUCAAUAUCUAAAAUUAAAUGUUCAAAAUAUUUUCUAGAAAUCGUGUAUAUUCAUAUAUUCACUGUUUUCUUGACAAUUCAGUAUGCUUCUCUUUGUCUUAAAGAAAAAUUAAGACAUUGAUGGAUUUCCAAGUACUUGAGAUUGAUCGGAUCAAUCAUAACUCUUUGUAAGAUGAGAGCCCUGUCGAGGGGUCUGUGCCUUUGAUUGUUCUGGUAGUACAUGGUGCCUUACAGGUGAUCUGGAUGAUGAUGAUCAUUGUAUCAUUUCGUAGAAAUCUCAGCACUCUGAUCUGCAUGAUCAAUGCUAUCUAAGCUUAUUGCCAUCUGGAAUUCAUCUACAUCAUUUCAGUCUGUAGGCAGGGCAGUGAUCCAUCAGAUUAUCAACAUACUAAACUCUCCAUUUUCAGUCAUUGUGUUGUCUGGUGGUUUUUCCUUGGGGAAUAUUUUAAGUCAUAUCCUUUCUGGAAGACAAUUUGCAUUUAUUCACUUGGCUGAAUUAAAAAAAAAAGGUUGUGCAUUUGGGAAGGCAUUUGAUGGAACUUGGCAUAAUCUGAUUUUGUUGGUGAGUUUUUCUUUCAAAUUUACAUUCUCUCUCGCCUGUGCUUUAAAAACCAGUCCAAAGCAGAGCUGCUAUUUGGGCAAACCUGAAAAAUUUGUGGUCGGGCUUUACCUACUGUUGUCGCAGAGGAUUGUGACAUUGCCGACGGGAAGGAGCCAAGGGUAGGAUGACUCUUUGAGACCUGUGAGUUCUGACCAUGGUGGUCAAUGAAAGAUGUUUGUAAAUUCUUUGAAGAGCUUCAUCAGCAUCCGCACAUGGUGCCAUCACCCUCAAGGGGUCAGAGCGAAUGAUUCUCCGAGACUUGACAAUGGUAUUCAAUUAAAGAGGAUUGACGUACCUUUAACAGCCUUAAUCAGCAACAUUCUCACAUGGAUCAAUAAUCAUGGCAUGGACGCAGGGGCCAUCUAGCCUAGAAUUAAUCCAGAUUUGAUUGUUUAAGUUUGAAGGUAAAGGAGUGUAAUUGGAUGACUUCUCGUAGAUUGUUACAACGGUUUCCAACAUCCAUCUGGUACGAGUUUUGGAAAUUCUAUUUGGUGCCGUCUGAAAUUAGACAUUUAUUCUGGAAAAUUGUUGUCAUUCACCUUUUGCCUGAAGAAAUAGAUUCCUACAUCUAGUCUGAAAUGAGCUUUGGAAAUUUUUAUCUGGUGCCAUUUCUCAAUUCUUUAAUCUUUCGGCUGCAUUUACCUCCAUUCUGGAAGGAGUUUUGUAAAGUUUGUUGGAUGUUGUCUCAGAAAUUUGACAUUGCGCUUCACUACUAGGGAACAUGCAUUGUACUGUGAUGAUUGAUGGUGCAUUGUGGGAUAUAAAGUGCACUUCCUCAGGACGAGCCUAUCUUGAGGGUUCAACCUGUUAGAUCUAGAUUCACAUUAUCUUAUCAUUCUGAAUGCAAUAGCUUUGUCUCUCAAAAUUGUGUGGAAGAAGUGUUGGAUGCAUACGCAAACCACAUUUGGUUCUUGUAUUAUGGUGAAUGAAUGAAGGGGAAACAAUAAAAAAUAACAAGAAAGAAAUCAUCAAAUAUUAACAAAAAAAGAAAAAAUUAAAGUGUUUAUUGACGUUGAGAGAAACGCAAUUUUAUAUGUACAGAAAAACAGUGCAUUUAUUUGCAAAGUUGUAAUAUUUCCCAUCUGCUCAGGCUACUGCUUAUUUAAAAAUAAUAGCCCCCCCAAAAAAAGAAUAAAGUAAUAAAAUGAAUAAAUUAAUAAAAAUUAGUAUUAGUAACAAUGAUGCAAAAAGACAAUUAGGAAUGAUGCAAUAUAUUUUUUAUUACAAAUUUCAAAAGAAUAGCCCCCCCCCAAAAAAAAAAUGAAUAACAAUAAUGAAAAAAUGAUAAUCAAAGAUACAAAUAGACAAUUCUGAAAUGAUGCAAUAAAUUUUUUAUUGAAAAUUUAAAAUAUGAAAAUUAUUAGUAAUAAUACGGCAUAAUUAUUUUUUUUAGAACAUUUUAAUAUCAGUCAUGUUUUUAAAUGUUGAAAUGAUGUGAAAUAAAGGAAGAUUGGCAGAUUUGGGAAGCUCUUCAUGAGGAGAUUUGUCAGUGAUUAUCACUGACUAAUUUGCUUUUGACCAAUCAGAUGCAGUGAUUCACAAGAGCUCAUAACAUCUGUUGGUGAAAGUCACUGACAAAAAUCUUUAUGAAAUGCUUCCCCUGGGUGGAUGGUACAGGGAGGUAUGGAGUGAGACUACAAUUUAAUGGAUUAACUGGUAAAACUGUAGAAAAGAGAAAAGGGCGUAGAGGGGGGUGGUAGUGAGGAAAGGAGCUCCCUGGCCAUUCAAAUGAGGUGGUGGCAUUAUUCAAGCAGACCAAGGGGGGAUGGGAGAGGGGGGUCAUAUGGCAAAGAGCAGAUAGAAGAGGGGAGAAGGGGGAAGGGGGUGGUUAGGGUAAAUAGAAGGGAACCAAAACCAGUGCAUUGUCUUUCGUACACUUGGCUACACAAAGUAUCAUUGAACUUGUAAAUAAAGCACCUACUGUAUAUGGGUAUUGUAUGUCAUGUAUGGCAGUGUCCAGCACCCCGCCCUGUACACUUAAAAAUAGGACAAUUGGUAGUGAUGUCAUGUAUUGUGUGAUUUUGUCUUGGAGACCCCAGCUCAGAUCAGACUGGCGGCCAUUUUGUGAGGGUGUUCGGGUUUGCUCCAUUGAAUCAAGGUCAGUUGCUAUGGCAACCUCCCAACUUGGGUGAAUCUUCUUGGCUGUCGGCCAUUUUUUUUUUAAUCAUUUUUUUUAAUAAAAAGAAACAAUAAAUUCCAUUGAAAAUGAA